GAGACACGCUGGCGGCGUGCCUAAACAUGCAAGUCGAGCGGAGAUAUAUGGAAGGUUUACCGGAAAUUAUCUUAGCGGCGGACGGGUGAGUAACGCGUGGGCAACCUGCCUCAUACAGGGGGAUAACACAGGGAAACUUGUGCUAAUACCGCAUGAAAUCAUAGUAUGGCAUCAUACAAUGAUCAAAGGAGCAAUCCGGUAUGAGAUGGGCCCGCGUCCGAUUAGCUAGUUGGUGAGGUAACGGCUCACCAAGGCGACGAUCGGUAGCCGAACUGAGAGGUUGAUCGGCCACAUUGGGACUGAGACACGGCCCCAGACUCCUACGGGAGGCAGCAGUGGGGAAUAUUGCGCAAUGGGGGAAACCCUGACGCAGCAACGCCGCGUGAAGGAAGAAGGCCUUCGGGUUGUAAACUUCUUUGAUAGGGGACGAUAAUGACGGUACCCUAAAAACAAGCCACGGCUAACUACGUG
Molecule: ribosomal RNA, 471 nt
Filed under: uncultured bacterium
Lineage: Bacteria
Description: bacterial SSU rRNA
Rfam family: Bacterial small subunit ribosomal RNA
Source: RNAcentral